This 1440-nucleotide ribosomal RNA is filed under the name uncultured Candidatus Pelagibacter sp. RNAcentral's name for it is "bacterial SSU rRNA". It matches the Rfam family "Bacterial small subunit ribosomal RNA". The record is from RNAcentral. Lineage: Bacteria; Pseudomonadati; Pseudomonadota; Alphaproteobacteria; Candidatus Pelagibacterales; Candidatus Pelagibacteraceae.
AGGGUUUGAUUAUGGCUCAGAACGUACGCUGGCGGCACGCCUAACACAUGCAAGUCGAACGAAGUAGCAAUACUUAGUGGCAGACGGGUGAGUAACAUGUGGGUAUCUGCCCUUUGGCCUGGAAUAGCACGAGGAAACUUGUGCUAAUACCGGAUAAGUCUUUACGGAGAAAGCUUUAUGCACCAUUGGAUGAGCCUGCACUUGAUUAGUUUGUUGGUGGGGUAAUGGCCUACCAAGACUGUGAUCAAUAGCUGAUUUGAGAGGAUGAUCAGCCACAUUGGGACUGAGACACGGCCCAAACUCCUACGGGAGGCAGCAGUGGGGAAUCUUGCACAAUGGAGGAAACUCUGAUGCAGCGAUGCCGCGUGAGUGAAGAAGGCCCUUGGGUUGUAAAGCUCUUUCGUCGGGGAAGAAAUGACUGUACCCGAAUAAGAAGGUCCGGCUAACUUCGUGCCAGCAGCCGCGGUAAUACGAAGGGACCUAGCGUAGUUCGGAAUUACUGGGCUUAAAGAGUUCGUAGGUGGUUGAAAAAGUUGGUGGUGAAAUCCCAGAGCUUAACUCUGGAACUGCCAUCAAAACUUUUCAGCUAGAGUAUGAUAGAGGAAAGCAGAAUUUCUAGUGUAGAGGUGAAAUUCGUAGAUAUUAGAAAGAAUACCAAUUGCGAAGGCAGCUUUCUGGAUCAUUACUGACACUGAGGAACGAAAGCAUGGGUAGCGAAGAGGAUUAGAUACCCUCGUAGUCCAUGCCGUAAACGAUGUGUGUUAGACGUUGGAAAUUUAUCUUCAGUGUCGCAGCGAAAGCGAUAAACACACCGCCUGGGGAGUACGACCGCAAGGUUAAAACUCAAAUGAAUCGACGGGGACCCGCACAAGUAGUGGAGCAUGUGGUUUAAUUCGAAGAUACGCGCAGAACCUUACCAACACUUGACAUGUUCGUCGCGACUUUAAGAGAUUAAAGUUUUCGGUUCGGCCGGACGAAACACAGGUGCUGCAUGGCUGUCGUCAGCUCGUGUCGUGAGAUGUUGGGUUAAGUCCCGCAACGAGCGCAACCCUCACUUUUAGUUGCCAUCAUUAAGUUGGGCACUCUGAAAGAACUGCCAGUGAUAAGCUGGAGGAAGGUGGGGAUGACGUCAAGUCCUCAUGGCCCUUACGUGUUGGGCUACACACGUGCUACAAUGGUAUCUACAACAGGAAGCAAAACGGCGAUGUUAAGCAAAUCCUCAAAAGAUACCUCAGUUCGGAUUGCACUCUGCAACUCGAGUGCAUGAAGCUGGAAUUACUAGUAAUCGUGGAUCAGCGUGCCACGGUGAAUGCGUUCCCGGGUCCUGUACACACCGCCCGUCACACCAUGGGAGUUGGUUCUACCUUAAGGCAAGGCUUAAAACCCUUGACCACGGUAUAGUCAGCGACUGGGGUGAAGUCGUAACAAGGUAACCAAGGG